CUAUUUACAUUUCAAUUUUAGCCCUUAAAUUGACCCCUCAUUAAACCCCAAUCUCAAUUUCAAAUGGACCGGACCCAAAUCCUAAAUUACCCGCCCAUGACCUAAUUAAAACAACAACUCGGCUCCCCUUUUGAUCCAGGCCGUGAUCAUUUUGAUCAAUGGUCAUAAUUCCCCUUUCCUUUUUAAUUCCCAAACACCCCUAACCCUAAUCACUUUCACCUAAUCAGUCGCCUUUGAAUCCCUUUGUCUUCCAAACUCUCUCGAAGGUUCUUCAGAACCCUAUUCAUCUUCUACCCUUUUCAACCGCACUUUCACCUGAAUCCAUGGCUUCUCAGGCCAUGGAUGGCCUAUACUCACCCCCUCCACCAUUAGACCAUGGGUGUUCAAAGUUUCGAUGUCUGAACUCGAUGGUUUUCCUUCAAAUCUUCUCAGAUCUAUGGUUCUAUGGUCUCUCCGGCCUUGCUUCGGCGUAUCCAAAACAUUAGGAGCCUGAUUCUAACUCAUCCGACUCAAGACUGGACUUUCUUACAAGCCUUUAUCAUUUCUAGUGUUUCUUCGAAACCCUAAGCUAUUCGAG
This 577-nucleotide long non-coding RNA is filed under the name Nicotiana benthamiana. Its description in RNAcentral is "long non-coding RNA (NBEN_LNC030041)". Lineage: Eukaryota; Viridiplantae; Streptophyta; Magnoliopsida; Solanales; Solanaceae. The record is from RNAcentral.